RNAcentral lists this ribosomal RNA (429 nucleotides) under Bacteroidota bacterium. Its description in RNAcentral is "Bacteroidetes bacterium partial 16S ribosomal RNA". It matches the Rfam family "Bacterial small subunit ribosomal RNA", at positions 355 to 776 of the family's 1533-position model. The record is from RNAcentral. Lineage: Bacteria; Pseudomonadati; Bacteroidota.
UAGGGAAUCUUCGGCAAUGGGGGGAACCCUGACCGAGCAACGCCGCGUGAGUGAAGAAGGUUUUCGGAUCGUAAAGCUCUGUUGUUAAGGAAGAACGAGUGUGAGAAUGGAAAGUUCAUACUGUGACGGUACUUAACCAGAAAGGGACGGCUAACUACGUGCCAGCAGCCGCGGUAAUACGUAGGUCCCGAGCGUUGUCCGGAUUUAUUGGGCGUAAAGCGAGCGCAGGCGGUUAGAUAAGUCUGAAGUUAAAGGCAGUGGCUCAACCAUUGUAGGCUUUGGAAACUGUUUAACUUGAGUGUAGAAGGGGAGAGUGGAAUUCCAUGUGUAGCGGUGAAAUGCGUAGAUAUAUGGAGGAACACCGGUGGCGAAAGCGGCUCUCUGGUCUGUAACUGACGCUGAGGCUCGAAAGCGUGGGGAGCGAACAGG